This 1397-nucleotide ribosomal RNA is filed under the name uncultured bacterium. Its description in RNAcentral is "bacterial SSU rRNA". It matches the Rfam family "Bacterial small subunit ribosomal RNA". The record is from RNAcentral.
AACGUACGCUGGCGGCACGCCUAACACAUGCAAGUCGAACGAAGUAGCAAUACUUAGUGGCAGACGGGUGAGUAACAUGUAGGUAUCUACCCUUUGGCCUGGAAUAACACGAGGAAACUUGUGCUAAUACCGGAUAAGUCUUUACGGAGAAAGCUUUAUGCACCAUUGGAUGAGCCUGCACUUGAUUAGUUUGUUGGUGGGGUAAUGGCCUACCAAGACUGUGAUCAAUAGCUGAUUUGAGAGGAUGAUCAGCCACAUUGGGACUGAGACACGGCCCAAACUCCUACGGGAGGCAGCAGUGGGGAAUCUUGCACAAUGGAGGAAACUCUGAUGCAGCGAUGCCGCGUGAGUGAAGAAGGCCCUUGGGUUGUAAAGCUCUUUCGUCGGGGAAGAAAAUGACUGUACCCGAAUAAGAAGGUCCGGCUAACUUCGUGCCAGCAGCCGCGGUAAUACGAAGGGACCUAGCGUAGUUCGGAAUUACUGGGCUUAAAGAGUUCGUAGGUGGUUGAAAAAGUUGGUGGUGAAAUCCCAGAGCUUAACUCUGGAACUGCCAUCAAAACUUUUCAGCUAGAGUUUGAUAGAGGAAAGCAGAAUUUCUAGUGUAGAGGUGAAAUUCGUAGAUAUUAGAAAGAAUACCAAUUGCGAAGGCAGCUUUCUGGAUCAUUACUGACACUGAGGAACGAAAGCAUGGGUAGCGAAGAGGAUUAGAUACCCUCGUAGUCCAUGCCGUAAACGAUGUGUGUUAGACGUUGGAAAUUUAUUUUCAGUGUCGCAGCGAAAGCGAUAAACACACCGCCUGGGGAGUACGACCGCAAGGUUAAAACUCAAAUGAAUUGACGGGGACCCGCACAAGUAGUGGAGCAUGUGGUUUAAUUCGAAGAUACGCGCAGAACCUUACCAACACUUGACAUGUUCGUCGCGACUUUAAGAGAUUAAAGUUUUCGGUUCGGCCGGACGAAACACAGGUGCUGCAUGGCUGUCGUCAGCUCGUGUCGUGAGAUGUUGGGUUAAGUCCCGCAACGAGCGCAACCCUCACUUUUAGUUGUCAUCAUUAAGUUGGGCACUCUGAAAGAACUGCCAGUGAUAAGCUGGAGGAAGGUGGGGAUGACGUCAAGUCCUCAUGGCCCUUACGUGUUGGGCUACACACGUGCUACAAUGGUAUUUACAAAAGGAAGCAAAACGGCGACGUUUAGCAAAUCCUAAAAAAAUACCUCAGUUCGGAUUGCACUCUGCAACUCGAGUGCAUGAAGCUGGAAUUACUAGUAAUCGUGGAUCAGCGUGCCACGGUGAAUGCGUUCCCGGGUCUUGUACACACCGCCCGUCACACCAUGGGAGUUGGUUGUACCUUAAGGCAAGGUUUAAAACCCUUGACCACGGUAUAGUCAGCGACUGGGGUG